Carassius auratus (goldfish) is the source of this 1209-nucleotide RNA transcript. RefSeq lists it as uncharacterized. The record is from RefSeq and is a predicted model, not a curated record. NCBI's taxonomy places the organism in Eukaryota, Metazoa, Chordata, Actinopteri, Cypriniformes, Cyprinidae. The transcript is spliced from 6 exons.
GACCCUCUUGAUAGGAACUGCGUCUGUUUCUUUUGUUUUGUUUUCUUUCUUUUUCUAAUUUCAUUUUCUUUUUUAUGGAGAUAGUGGAAUGGCGAUUUUGUUAAUUUUUGUAAUUUUUUUAUCCCAUCAUGGUUUUGCUGGUGUUGAUGUUGUCACAUUAUCAGUGAAUGAGGGAGAAUCAGUCACACUACGCACUGAUGUGGAAACAAACCAACAAGAAGAUAUUAAGUGGUAUUUUAAUGACAUUCGAAUAGCUGAAAUCAGUGGCGAUCUCAGUGAUUACUGUACAGAUGUUGAGUGUAAUGGAGGUACUGAGAGAUUCAGAUACAGACUGAAGCUGGAUCAUCAGACUGGAUCUCUGACCAUCAUGAACAUCACAAACACAGACUCUGGAGAAUAUGAGCUAAAGAUCAUCAGAAGCAGCAGUAUCAGUGAAAAGACCUUCAAUGUUGUUGUUCAUGGUGUUUCUGCUGCAGAACGAGAUGAAAAGUCAGUGAAGGAGGGAGAAUCUGUCUCUUUACAUCCUGAUGUAGCAAGGCAACCAAAUGAGGUGAUGAGAUGGUAUUAUAAGGACAUUCGCAUCGCUGAAAUCACUGGAGAUCAGAGUAACAGUAUCUGUUCAGAUGUUCAGUGUAAAGAGAGAUUCGGAGACAGACUGAAGCUGGAUCAGACUGGAUCUCUGACCAUCAUGAACACCAGAACCACAGACUCUGGAGAAUAUAAACUGGAGAUCAGCAGAAAGGGUCGUCUUAUCAACAGUGCUUUCAUUGAGAAGAGCUUUGGUGUUAACGUUGCUGUUAAUGUUCCAGAUUCAGGUCGGUCUUCAGCUGCUGCUGCUGCUGCAGCAGGAAUAGCUGUUGCUGUCAUUCUGCUUUUAGCUGUGUGUGCUGCGGUUGUGACUUACUAACACAAACAUCAAGAGAGAAGAGAAGACAUCCGGAUGCAGAACAUUGGUCCGGUAAAUGAUGCUCCAGUGAAUCAAGAGUCAUUACUGUAGGAGACUGCGACAUACUGUUGAACACUACUGAUGGGACAUCCUUAAAUCAGACUGAAGCUGAUUAGCAUUACAUCAUUUAUUACACUAACACUGAAGAGGCAGUGGAAAAUCGAGAAAAAGAGAAAAGCAUCAGUCAAAACCAGUGGUGGACCUAGUGGUUAGAGAGUCGGACUCCUAAUCGAAAGGUUGUGAGUUCGAGUCUCGGGCCGGCA